RNAcentral lists this non-coding RNA (21 nucleotides) under Caenorhabditis elegans. Lineage: Eukaryota; Metazoa; Nematoda; Chromadorea; Rhabditida; Rhabditidae. The record is from RNAcentral.
UUCAAUCGGUUGGCUGAGACG